Molecule: ribosomal RNA, 1696 nt
Filed under: Staphylococcus aureus
Lineage: Bacteria; Bacillati; Bacillota; Bacilli; Caryophanales; Staphylococcaceae
Description: partial 23S ribosomal RNA
Rfam family: Bacterial large subunit ribosomal RNA
Source: RNAcentral
CAGUACCGUGAGGGAAAGGUGAAAAGCACCCCGGAAGGGGAGUGAAAUAGAACCUGAAACCGUGUGCUUACAAGUAGUCAGAGCCCGUUAAUGGGUGAUGGCGUGCCUUUUGUAGAAUGAACCGGCGAGUUACGAUUUGAUGCAAGGUUAAGCAGUAAAUGUGGAGCCGUAGCGAAAGCGAGUCUGAAUAGGGCGUUUAGUAUUUGGUCGUAGACCCGAAACCAGGUGAUCUACCCUUGGUCAGGUUGAAGUUCAGGUAACACUGAAUGGAGGACCGAACCGACUUACGUUGAAAAGUGAGCGGAUGAACUGAGGGUAGCGGAGAAAUUCCAAUCGAACCUGGAGAUAGCUGGUUCUCUCCGAAAUAGCUUUAGGGCUAGCCUCAAGUGAUGAUUAUUGGAGGUAGAGCACUGUUUGGACGAGGGGCCCCUCUCGGGUUACCGAAUUCAGACAAACUCCGAAUGCCAAUUAAUUUAACUUGGGAGUCAGAACAUGGGUGAUAAGGUCCGUGUUCGAAAGGGAAACAGCCCAGACCACCAGCUAAGGUCCCAAAAUAUAUGUUAAGUGGAAAAGGAUGUGGCGUUGCCCAGACAACUAGGAUGUUGGCUUAGAAGCAGCCAUCAUUUAAAGAGUGCGUAAUAGCUCACUAGUCGAGUGACACUGCGCCGAAAAUGUACCGGGGCUAAACAUAUUACCGAAGCUGUGGAUUGUCCUUUGGACAAUGGUAGGAGAGCGUUCUAAGGGCGUUGAAGCAUGAUCGUAAGGACAUGUGGAGCGCUUAGAAGUGAGAAUGCCGGUGUGAGUAGCGAAAGACGGGUGAGAAUCCCGUCCACCGAUUGACUAAGGUUUCCAGAGGAAGGCUCGUCCGCUCUGGGUUAGUCGGGUCCUAAGCUGAGGCCGACAGGCGUAGGCGAUGGAUAACAGGUUGAUAUUCCUGUACCACCUAUAAUCGUUUUAAUCGAUGGGGGGACGCAGUAGGAUAGGCGAAGCGUGCGAUUGGAUUGCACGUCUAAGCAGUAAGGCUGAGUAUUAGGCAAAUCCGGUACUCGUUAAGGCUGAGCUGUGAUGGGGAGAAGACAUUGUGUCUUCGAGUCGUUGAUUUCACACUGCCGAGAAAAGCCUCUAGAUAGAAAAUAGGUGCCCGUACCGCAAACCGACACAGGUAGUCAAGAUGAGAAUUCUAAGGUGAGCGAGCGAACUCUCGUUAAGGAACUCGGCAAAAUGACCCCGUAACUUCGGGAGAAGGGGUGCUCUUUAGGGUUAACGCCCAGAAGAGCCGCAGUGAAUAGGCCCAAGCGACUGUUUAUCAAAAACACAGGUCUCUGCUAAACCGUAAGGUGAUGUAUAGGGGCUGACGCCUGCCCGGUGCUGGAAGGUUAAGAGGAGUGGUUAGCUUCUGCGAAGCUACGAAUCGAAGCCCCAGUAAACGGCGGCCGUAACUAUAACGGUCCUAAGGUAGCGAAAUUCCUUGUCGGGUAAGUUCCGACCCGCACGAAAGGCGUAACGAUUUGGGCACUGUCUCAACGAGAGACUCGGUGAAAUCAUAGUACCUGUGAAGAUGCAGGUUACCCGCGACAGGACGGAAAGACCCCGUGGAGCUUUACUGUAGCCUGAUAUUGAAAUUCGGCACAGCUUGUACAGGAUAGGUAGGAGCCUUUGAAACGUGAGCGCUAGCUUACGUGGAGGCGCUGGUGGG